This 253-nucleotide ribosomal RNA is filed under the name uncultured bacterium. RNAcentral describes it as "partial 16S ribosomal RNA". It matches the Rfam family "Bacterial small subunit ribosomal RNA", at positions 524 to 776 of the family's 1533-position model. The record is from RNAcentral.
UACGUAGGUGGCAAGCGUUGUCCGGAUUUACUGGGCGUAAAGGGCGUGCAGGCGGUUUGUUAAGUGCAGGGUGAAAGCUCCCGGCUCAACUGGGAGAGGUCCUUGCAUACUGGCAAUCUCGAGGGAGGCAGAGGAAAGUGGAAUUCCCGGUGUAGUGGUGAUAUGCGUAGAUAUCGGGAGGAACACCUGUGGCGAAGGCGGCUUUCUGGGCCUUACCUGACGCUGAGACGCGAAAGCGUGGGGAGCGAACCGG